CUUUCCCUGCCUGGUUCGCCAAGGCCAAUAGUUCCUUGAACCGAUGCGCAAGCAUCAGGAACGAUCUUUACUUUGUGGGCGUGAGCGUUUCGAUUCUUCACAGUGGCAGCUCGAGCUGUUUACUCCCUGAGUAUCUUAAUGCACCCAAAACAAGGUAGCCGUUCCACCUUGAACCUUAGGGUUCAGGAUGACGGCCUAGCGGCUAAGGCGGGGAAUUC
This 218-nucleotide non-coding RNA is filed under the name Polynucleobacter antarcticus. RNAcentral describes it as "6S / SsrS RNA". It matches the Rfam family "6S / SsrS RNA". From Rfam's summary of the family: E. coli 6S RNA was the first non coding RNA to be sequenced, but its function was unknown until recently. It consists of 184 nucleotides that fold into an extended hairpin structure with a large single-stranded internal bulge. The 6S RNA specifically associates with RNA polymerase holoenzyme containing the sigma70 specificity factor. Lineage: Bacteria; Pseudomonadati; Pseudomonadota; Betaproteobacteria; Burkholderiales; Burkholderiaceae. The record is from Rfam by way of RNAcentral.